Schistosoma mattheei is the source of this 114-nucleotide non-coding RNA. The record is from Rfam. NCBI's taxonomy places the organism in Eukaryota, Metazoa, Platyhelminthes, Trematoda, Strigeidida, Schistosomatidae.
AUCAGUUAUGGAGAUAUGGUUCCAGAGACAAUAGUUGGAAAAAUUGUUGGUGGUAUGUGUUCACUUUCUGGAGUGCUUGUAAUUGCUUUACCUGUUCCCGUUAUUGUAUCAAAC